This 245-nucleotide ribosomal RNA is filed under the name uncultured Nesterenkonia sp. Its description in RNAcentral is "partial 16S ribosomal RNA". It matches the Rfam family "Bacterial small subunit ribosomal RNA", at positions 524 to 768 of the family's 1533-position model. Lineage: Bacteria; Bacillati; Actinomycetota; Actinomycetes; Micrococcales; Micrococcaceae. The record is from RNAcentral.
UACGUAGGGCGCGAGCGUUAUCCGGAAUUAUUGGGCGUAAAGAGCUCGUAGGCGGUUUGCCGCGUCUGCUGUGAAAGCCCGGGGCUUAACUCCGGGUGUGCAGUGGGUACGGGCAGACUAGAGUGCAGUAGGGGAGACUGGAAUUCCUGGUGUAGCGGUGAAAUGCGCAGAUAUCAGGAGGAACACCGAUGGCGAAGGCAGGUCUCUGGGCUGUUACUGACGCUGAGGAGCGAAAGCAUGGGGAG